GUGUGCACUCACCAGAGACAGAGAGGGAAACUGAGAAAUCACCCCCAGGGAUGAUGGCUAUGCUGAAUUCUCCUCUCCCGACAGAGUGCACAUGCAGAUAGGCCCACAGACACAGCCUCUACAGCAGGGGGCAGGAUUAUCUUCUGGAAGCCAAGAGCCCAGGAAACCCCUUCGGAUGCUUAACCGAGAGAAAGAUUUAAAAACAAACAAACAAAAAAAACUAAGG
Long non-coding RNA from Tupaia belangeri chinensis (Chinese tree shrew), 226 nucleotides. RefSeq lists it as uncharacterized. The record is from RefSeq and is a predicted model, not a curated record. The transcript has 2 exons. Lineage: Eukaryota; Metazoa; Chordata; Mammalia; Scandentia; Tupaiidae.